AUACAGAGGGUGCAAGCGUUAAUCGGAAUUACUGGGCGUAAAGCGUGUGUAGGUGGUUUGCUAAGUCAGGUGUGAAAUCCCUGGGCUCAACCUAGGAAUUGCAUUUGAUACUGGCGGACUAGAGUGCGGUAGAGGAUGGUGGAAUUCCCGGUGUAGCGGUGAAAUGCGUAGAUAUCGGGAGGAACAUCAGUGGCGAAGGCGGCCAUCUGGACUGACACUGACACUGAGACACGAAAGCGUGGGGAGCAAACAGG
RNAcentral lists this ribosomal RNA (254 nucleotides) under uncultured prokaryote. RNAcentral describes it as "partial 16S ribosomal RNA". It matches the Rfam family "Bacterial small subunit ribosomal RNA", at positions 523 to 776 of the family's 1533-position model. The record is from RNAcentral.